UUUCCGUAGGUGAACCUGCGGAAGGAUCAUUAUAGAGUUCAUGCCCUCCGGGUAGAUCUCCCACCCAUUGCUAUAACUACUCCCGUUGCUUCGGCGGGCCGCUGGGCCCUGCCCGGCCGCCGGCCCCGGCUGGCGCGUGCCCGCCAGAGACCUCACAAACUCUGAAUGUUAGUGUCGUCCGAGUAACUAUACAAUCGUUAAAACUUUCAACAACGGAUCUCUUGGUUCUG
RNAcentral lists this unclassified non-coding RNA (230 nucleotides) under plant metagenome. Its description in RNAcentral is "partial contains small subunit ribosomal RNA, internal transcribed spacer 1, and 5.8S ribosomal RNA". The record is from RNAcentral.